UGGUUCACUUGGUAAGAGCGUGGCACUAGCAACGCCAGGGUCGUGGGUUCGAUUCCCAC
Molecule: transfer RNA, 59 nt
Filed under: Salmo salar (Atlantic salmon)
Lineage: Eukaryota; Metazoa; Chordata; Actinopteri; Salmoniformes; Salmonidae
Also listed under: 2 other names
Rfam family: tRNA
About the family: Transfer RNA (tRNA) molecules are approximately 80 nucleotides in length. Their secondary structure includes four short double-helical elements and three loops (D, anti-codon, and T loops). Further hydrogen bonds mediate the characteristic L-shaped molecular structure. tRNAs have two regions of fundamental functional importance: the anti-codon, which is responsible for specific mRNA codon recognition, and the 3' end, to which the tRNAs corresponding amino acid is attached (by aminoacyl-tRNA synthetases). tRNAs cope with the degeneracy of the genetic code in two manners: having more than one tRNA (with a specific anti-codon) for a particular amino acid; and 'wobble' base-pairing, i.e. permitting non-standard base-pairing at the 3rd anti-codon position.
Source: Rfam by way of RNAcentral